GUGCUCGCUUCAGCAGCACGCAUCCUAAAAUUGGAACCAUACAGAGAAGAUUAGCAUGGCCCGAGCACAAAGAUGACACACAAAUUCAUGAAACGUUUGGUAUUUUU
Apodemus sylvaticus (European woodmouse) is the source of this 107-nucleotide small nuclear RNA. Lineage: Eukaryota; Metazoa; Chordata; Mammalia; Rodentia; Muridae. The record is from RefSeq and is a predicted model, not a curated record.